GGGUGAGGGAAACAUGGCGGAGUGGUGGGCUAUCCAUGCGGUGGACAGACGAAGUCGGAAAAAACGACUGAAAAUAUGGAGUAAAAGCAACGUUUGAGUAGAUGUUUCGUCUUCUUACCACCAUGAGAAACUUGAUUACUGACGAAGUGUGAAUGCUAAAGCAUGCUUUGGAGCUGUUUUGUCGAACACCAUCUGCGGCGGAAGAACUCAAACUUCAACCAGCAAAUCACAGAGAGAAGAGACACACAUGAAGAUUUAAAGAAGCAAAUAUUUGAGCUCAUGAGGAAGAGACAGGCAUGAAGACAUCUGCAGAAGGUGUCACCACUUCGUCCACCACCGUCCACGUUCACAGAGCUGUCGUCCAUGAUCGCUGAGACAUGGUCCAUGAUCGGAGAGACAUUGUUGAGGAUGAGGGAGACAUCGUCCACGAUCAGAGACGUUGUCCAUGAUCACAGAGACCUUGUCAAAGAUGAGAGAGACGUUGUCCAUGAUCAGAGACAUUGUCCCAUGCUUCGUAGAGACCUUGCGAUAGAAUCGGCGGAGACGGGGGUCACCGAUUUGACGGCAUUGACCGCGAUCAUGGAGACAUUGCCGAUGAUCACAGAGACAGCGUUUAUGAUCUCAGAGACAUCGUCCAUGAUCACAAAGACGUUGUCCAUGAUCGCAGAGACUUUGUCCAUAAUCUCAGAGAAAUUGUCCACGAUCACAGAGACGUAGUCCACGAUCACAGUCUUCGGACAAUGAAGUAGUUCACUGAGACCAGGACAGAGGCCUCCAGGUGUCACCACUUCGUCCACCACCGUCCACGUUCACAGAGAUGUCGUCCACGAUCGCUGAGACAUGGUCCAUGAUCGGAGAGACAUUGUUGAGGAUGAGGGAGACAUCGUCCACGAUCAGAGACGUUGUCCAUGAUCACAGAGACCUUGUCAAAGAUGAGAGAGACGUUGUCCAUGAUCAGAGACAUUGUCCCAUGCUUCGUAGAGACCUUGCGAUAGAAUCGGCGGAGACGGGGGUCACCGAUUUGACGGCAUUGACCGCGAUCAUGGAGACAUUGCCGAUGAUCACAGAGACAGCGUUUAUGAUCUCAGAGACAUCGUCCAUGAUCACAAAGACGUUGUCCAUGAUCGCAGAGACUUUGUCCAUAAUCUCAGAGACAUUGUCCACGUUCACAGAGACGUAGUCCACGAUCACAGAGUCUUCGUACAAUGAAGUAGUUCACUGAGACCAGGACAGAGGCCUCCAGGAAGAGAAGACGACAGCAGCUGAAGACCUGAAGUGGAUGAAAGAAAACAAAAGUGUUACAAAGCUAGAUAAACAACCCCUACCA
This is a long non-coding RNA of Lates calcarifer (barramundi perch), 1327 nucleotides long. RefSeq lists it as uncharacterized. NCBI's taxonomy places the organism in Eukaryota, Metazoa, Chordata, Actinopteri, Centropomidae. The transcript has 6 exons. The record is from RefSeq and is a predicted model, not a curated record.